This 217-nucleotide ribosomal RNA is filed under the name uncultured bacterium. RNAcentral describes it as "partial 16S ribosomal RNA". It matches the Rfam family "Bacterial small subunit ribosomal RNA", at positions 328 to 539 of the family's 1533-position model. The record is from RNAcentral.
ACGCUCGACACCUACGGGAGCAGCAGUGAGGAAUAUUGGUCAAUGGACGCAAGUCUGAACCAGCCAUGCCGCGUGCAGGAUGACGGCUCUAUGAGUUGUAAACUGCUUUUGUACGAGGGUAAACGCAGAUACGUGUAUCUGUCUGAAAGUAUCGUACGAAUAAGGAUCGGCUAACUCCGUGCCAGUAGCCGCGGUAAUCUGAGCGGGCUGGCAAGGC